This 153-nucleotide unclassified non-coding RNA is filed under the name uncultured fungus. RNAcentral's name for it is "sequence contains ITS1, 5.8S rRNA gene". Lineage: Eukaryota; Fungi. The record is from RNAcentral.
CAGGGUCUCACGACUCUCAAACCAAACCGUGCACUAAAACUUUUAUACUGCUGAGGCGGCCGCUCGCUGGGGGAGCUCUGGCCUUUUACAAGGUGGCCGCCAAAGCAACCAAAACUACUUAAAUUCAAAAAUAAACUUUCUAUAAAGAAAUCA